GGAAUGGUGAAAAGUACCCCGGGAGGGGAGUGAAAUAGUGCCUGAAACCAAGCGCUUUUAAGCCGUCAGAGCCGGUCGGCCCUUUUUUUGGGGUUGUGGUGAUGGCGUGCCUAUUGAAAAAUGAGCCUGCGAGUUAGUGAUGCGUGGCGAGGUUAACCCUUUGUGGGGUAGUCGUAGCGAAAGCGAGUCUUAAUUGGGCGCCCAGUCGCGUGUUCUAGACCCGAAGCGGGGUGAUCUACCCAUGGCCAGGUUGAAGCGAUUGUAAAAGGUCGUGGAGGACCGUACCCACCUAGGUUGAAAACUGGGGGGAUGAGUUGUGGGUAGGGGUGAAAGGCUAAUCAAACUCCGUGAUAGCUGGUUCUCCCCGAAAUGCAUUUAGGUGCAGCGUUCUGCGUGUGUUGUUGUGGUGGUAGAGCUACUGGUUGGUUGAUGGGCCGUUUUGGUUACUGACGUCAGCUAAACUCCGAAUGCCAUUGAUAAUUGCAGGGCAGUGAGACUGCGGGGGAUAAGCUUCGUAGUCGAGAGGGAAACAGCCCAGAUC
RNAcentral lists this non-coding RNA (541 nucleotides) under Actinomyces sp. S6-Spd3. RNAcentral describes it as "Bacterial large subunit ribosomal RNA". It matches the Rfam family "Bacterial large subunit ribosomal RNA", at positions 508 to 1033 of the family's 2925-position model. The record is from Rfam by way of RNAcentral. Lineage: Bacteria; Bacillati; Actinomycetota; Actinomycetes; Actinomycetales; Actinomycetaceae.